GACGAACGCUGGCGGCGUGCCUAAUACAUGCCAGUUGAGCGAUGAAGAUUGGUGCUUGCACCAAUUUGAAGAGCAGCGAACGGGUGAGUAACGCGUGGGGAAUCUGCCUUUGAGCGGGGGACAACAUUUGGAAACGAAUGCUAAUACCGCAUAAUAACUUUAAACAUAAGUUUUAAGUUUGAAAGAUGCAAUUGCAUCACUCAAAGAUGAUCCCGCGUUGUAUUAGCUAGUUGGUGAGGUAAAGGCUCACCAAGGCGAUGAUACAUAGCCGACCUGAGAGGGUGAUCGGCCACAUUGGGACUGAGACACGGCCCAAACUCCUACGGGAGGCAGCAGUAGGGAAUCUUCGGCAAUGGACGAAAGUCUGACCGAGCAACGCCGCGUGAGUGAAGAAGGUUUUCGGAUCAUAAAACUCUGUUGGUAGAGAAGAACGUUGGUGAGAGUGGAAAGCUCAUCAAGUGACGGUAACUACCCAGAAAGGGACGGCUAACUACGUG
RNAcentral lists this ribosomal RNA (497 nucleotides) under uncultured bacterium. RNAcentral's name for it is "partial 16S ribosomal RNA". It matches the Rfam family "Bacterial small subunit ribosomal RNA", at positions 28 to 507 of the family's 1533-position model. The record is from RNAcentral.